AAAGUGUCUUUAGAUGAUUAGGAUCUAAGGGGCCAACAGCUUUGCAAUAACAGCAUAAAUAUUGUGGGCUGGAUGGACAGGCACCAAAUGGGGACAUUCCAUCCUGCUGUGUGAUGAGAAAGCUGCCACUUCUGAGGCCUUCCAAAACAAAUAAACACUCCAAAUGCCAGAAGGAAAAGCCCAGGAAAGACCUAUUCCAACUGGAGAUGGUGAAUGUCAUUUCUUCAAGAAGCUGAGAUCCAGCUGGUACUGCCAGGUGGAGAGUGAGUUGGGUAGCUGACCUCAGGCAUGGCAGCCUUAGUUUUUGGCCACUUCAUGGGGUGACCUGUUGAGCAAACAGCAGUGGAAUUCUGCAGCUGUGGACCAAGACGAAUAUGAAGGGAGAAUGAAACAAAACUGCUCCGCUCAGGGAACUUAGAAAUUGAAAAGUCUAUACGAGUCUCUUUGACACAAGUCUCUUUGGUACAGAUGAAGACCAGAGAGCUUGGGAGUCACUUCUGAAGAGAAGAGUGAAUGAGUAAACAAACGUGGAUGAGGCAAACAAAGAACAUACCAAAUGUCAGGAUUCAGAUGGGACUGCUGUAUGAUGUUAAUGAACACAGAGAUCUGGAGAAACCAUGUCAAAGCUUUCCGAGAGAGACCGGGAACAAUACCUGGGGAACACCAAAAAGAGAGAUGAUAAAGAAGGGAUGACAAGUCCCUGCAGGCCUGGACCAAGUGCAACACAGAACAAGCAACAAGACCAAAAGAAAGUAGUGUGUCUUGUUAAGUUUCUUUGCAAGGCUUUAAAUCAGCAGUGGCUUCCUGGCA
This 810-nucleotide non-coding RNA is filed under the name Pongo abelii (Sumatran orangutan). The record is from RNAcentral. Lineage: Eukaryota; Metazoa; Chordata; Mammalia; Primates; Hominidae.